CGAAAGCCUGACGGAGCAACGCCGCGUGAGGGAUGAAGGCCUCUGGGCUGUAAACCUCUUUUCUCAAGGAAGAAGAACUGACGGUACUUGAGGAAUAAGCCACGGCUAAUUCCGUGCCAGCAGCCGCGGUAAUACGGGAGUGGCAAGCGUUAUCCGGAAUUAUUGGGCGUAAAGCGUCCGCAGGCGGCCUCGUAAGUCUGUCGUUAAAGCGUGGAGCUUAACUCCAUUUCAGCGAUGGAAACUGUGAGGCUUGAGUGUGGUAGGAGCAGAGGGAAUUCCCGGUGUAGCGGUGAAAUGCGUAGAUAUCGGGAAGAACACCAGUGGCGAAGGCGCUCUGCUGGGCCAUAACUGACGCUCAUGGACGAAAGCCAGGGGAGCG
Molecule: ribosomal RNA, 379 nt
Filed under: uncultured cyanobacterium
Lineage: Bacteria; Bacillati; Cyanobacteriota
Description: bacterial SSU rRNA
Rfam family: Bacterial small subunit ribosomal RNA
Source: RNAcentral